RNAcentral lists this long non-coding RNA (702 nucleotides) under Equus caballus (horse). RNAcentral's name for it is "lncRNA (ENSECAG00000029220.2)". Lineage: Eukaryota; Metazoa; Chordata; Mammalia; Perissodactyla; Equidae. The record is from RNAcentral.
CAGAUUUUAAAGCGAAGUCUAAAUUAAGGAACAACACUCCUAAAUUUCAAUUUGGAGCAAACAAGCUACCAUAAGUAUUUUUCUGAAAGCUGUGGAAAUAUUAUCCAACGUAAAAGCACAGAUGCUAUUUUAAAACUCAGGUUCUUGGAACCUGCGUUCUUCCUUUCAUUUUCCGAUUAUUUGCCACCUGACAUCUUACUUCACAAGUCCCGAAAAGAGCAGAAGCACAGCCAGAGUUGGGGUGAUCAGCGGCUCUGUGGGUGACCACUAACUUCUCAGCGUGUCCUCCAGCUUGCAACACCUUCCCGCGAGGCUCUUCCCAACGCCAAGAGUACAGACAUGAAAGUCGGAAGGCAUCAAGUUUCAGCUCCCUGAGUGAUGGAAGAUCAUUCGGCCACGAGGACCUUCGAAGUUGGCCCCGUCUACAGCUUGUAAUGAAAAGGAUAAUCUGUCUUGUAAUGAAAAACAGGACCCACACAAACAAACCCAGCAUCCAACCGCCUUCUACCGCGCCUCACUCUUCCCUAAUAAGGGCCAGUGACAAAUAUUGCCGUCCAGUUCCACCCAAAAAAGAGGAAGCAGUAGAUCUUCCUUUUAAUAACUUCCCAAAGUGUUACAAAUAAUAAAAAGGACGCAUAAAUCAUCGCAGGGGCGUCUGAACGUGGACCACGGAAGGAUUUACUCCUCUCAAGCCUGGACUUC